ACACUGCAUUACACUUGUUUAGCUCGCGCAUGCGCAGUAUAAAAGAUGGGACAUGUUUCCGCUUGAGUAAGACUUCUGGUCCUAUUAUCUAUUCUGUGUCACAGAUGUUGCUUCGCAACAUCCGUGAGUCAAAAACGUGUCAAUAUUUUAAUAUUUGCAUGCUCAUUGUAUUUUUUGAACAGUGAUCGUUCUCGUUUGGUAGAGUAUCCUGUGAAAUGCUUCCUUCACAUUUUAGCGUCUUAGAUUUUGGUAUAUUUGCCUGUGUUGUUAUAUGUGCUCUGCUGUUGGCACUGUUCUUCCUUGUUGAUUUUGUGAGUACUGUAAUCUACUCUUCAUUUUCUUUGCUUUGUUGUACAAGUCACAAGUGCAUAAUCUUCAUUGGACUUGGAUUUAAAAUAGGACAUGAAUGUUUCAUUUUCUUUUAAAUUCUCAGAAUGCGAAGACACGAAUUUCAAACUUGCCUGGUAUUGAUUCCACAGACCCUGAGUAAGUACAACAGACCAGGUUGGAAACUAUUGCAUUUAAAAUCCGAACCCCCCUGUUGAGGACCUCUCUUUUG
Non-coding RNA from Paramuricea clavata, 559 nucleotides. NCBI's taxonomy places the organism in Eukaryota, Metazoa, Cnidaria, Anthozoa, Malacalcyonacea, Plexauridae. The record is from the annotation of a GenBank genome assembly.